This 366-nucleotide ribosomal RNA is filed under the name Triticum aestivum (bread wheat). RNAcentral's name for it is "partial small subunit ribosomal RNA". Lineage: Eukaryota; Viridiplantae; Streptophyta; Magnoliopsida; Poales; Poaceae. The record is from RNAcentral.
AUGCCGAUUGAUUUCAUUUCCCUGGUCUGCUCCUGCCUGUGGUUGCGUGCACGGCCAAGGAUCCACAGCAGCUGGACGUCGACGAUGACGCACAAGGCGAGGAGGAGCUGCAACUGGGCGUCCAGUCAGAUCCCGACCACCACGACGCCAACAAAAAAAGGUAUGCCAACUGACCGAGGAGGAGGGCAAGGCGUCCUGCUUGAUCCAGCCCAGCAACCGCCCGUGCUGUCCACCACGCCGAUGGCGUCCCCAAGUGCUAGGCCGCCCACACCGCAGCCAUGCUGGUGUCCUGGUUCGGCUACUAAACCUCAUCCGCUGCCCAUGUGUUUUCAGGUCAAGUCCACCACUGGUUGUGGUCUCGGAUAG